RNAcentral lists this long non-coding RNA (692 nucleotides) under Musa acuminata (dwarf banana). Its description in RNAcentral is "long non-coding RNA (MACU_LNC003011)". The record is from RNAcentral. Lineage: Eukaryota; Viridiplantae; Streptophyta; Magnoliopsida; Zingiberales; Musaceae.
AAAUGUCCAUAUCCCACUCCCUCCAUCCCACACCCUAAGCACCACCCGAAGCACCCUCCCAAGGUGAAACCCUACCCUAAGCCCAAACCUCACCCUCCAAAGCCACCAGUAGUUGGCCCUCCUAAACCUCCUCCGGUUGUCCCACCACCACUCCCACCUGUAGUUGUUCCCCAACCUCCUCCCUAUGUGAAGCCUCCGCCUGUGCCGCCCGUUGUCGGUCCACCCAAGCCUCCUCCGGUGGUGUACCCCCCCGUGCCGCCUGUUGUCGGUCCACCCAAGCCUCCUCCGGUGGUGUACCCGCCCGUUCCGCCCGUUGUCGGGCCACCCAAGCCUCCUCCGGUGGUGUACCCGCCCGUUCCGCCUGUUGUCGGGCCACCCAAGCCACCUCCGGUGGUGUACCCACCCCAGCCGUGCCCGCCGCCGCCGCCGCCGCCGCCCAAGGAGACAUGCCCGGCGGACACGCUGAAGCUGGGAGCCUGCGUCGACCUGAUCAGCGGCAUGAUACCCAUUCGGAUCGGGGCGGACGCCAAGUCGACGUGCUGCCCGGUGCUGCAAGGCCUUGCAGAUCUCGACGCCGCUCUGUGCCUCUGCACCACCAUCAAGGCGAAGUUGCUCAACCUCAAUCUUGUACUGCCCGUUGCGUUGGAGUUGCUUAUUGGGUGCGGGAAGAGCCUUCCUCCCGGUUAUCAAUG